Molecule: ribosomal RNA, 361 nt
Filed under: uncultured Thermus sp.
Lineage: Bacteria; Thermotogati; Deinococcota; Deinococci; Thermales; Thermaceae
Description: bacterial SSU rRNA
Rfam family: Bacterial small subunit ribosomal RNA
Source: RNAcentral
GGGGAGCCCUAGCACAGGUGCUGCAUGGCCGUCGUCAGCUCGUGCCGUGAGGUGUUGGGUUAAGUCCCGCAACGAGCGCAACCCCCGCCGUUAGUUGCCAGCGGUUCGGCCGGGCACUCUAACGGGACUGCCCGCGAAAGCGGGAGGAAGGAGGGGACGACGUCUGGUCAGCAUGGCCCUUACGGCCUGGGCGACACACGUGCUACAAUGCCCACUGCAAAGCGAGGCCACCCGGCAACGGGGAGCUAAUCGCAAAAAGGUGGGCCCAGUUCGGAUUGGGGUCUGCAACCCGACCCCAUGAAGCCGGAAUCGCUAGUAAUCGCGGAUCAGCCAUGCCGCGGUGAAUACGUUCCCGGGCCUU